AGCAUAUCAAUAAGCGGAGGAAAAGAAACCAACAGGGAUUGCCCUAGUAACGGCGAGUGAAGCGGCAACAGCUCAAAUUUGAAAUCUGGCUCUCGGGCCCGAGUUGUAAUUUGUAGAGGAUGCUUUUGAUGCGGUGCCUUCCGAGUUCCCUGGAACGGGACGCCAUAGAGGGUGAGAGCCCCGUCUGGUUGGAUGCCAAAUCUCUGUAAAGCUCCUUCGACGAGUCGAGUAGUUUGGGAAUGCUGCUCUAAAUGGGAGGUAUAUGUCUUCUAAAGCUAAAUAUUGGCCAGAGACCGAUAGCGCACAAGUAGAGUGAUCGAAAGAUGAAAAGCACUUUGAAAAGAGAGUUAAAAAGUACGUGAAAUUGUUGAAAGGGAAGCGUUUAUGACCAGACUUGGGCUUGGUUAAUCAUCUGGGGUUCUCCCCAGUGCACUUUUCCAGUCCAGGCCAGCAUCAGUUUUCGCCGGGGGAUAAAGGCUUCGGGAAUGUGGCUCUCUCCGGGGAGUGUUAUAGCCCGUUGCGUAAUACCCUGGCGGGGACUGAGGUUCGCGCAUCUGCAAGGAUGCUGGCGUAAUGGUCAUCAACGACCCGUCUUGAAACACGGACCAAGGAGUCGUCUUCGUAUGCGAGUGUUCGGGUGUCAAACCCCUACGCGUAAUGAAAGUGAACGCAGGUGAGAGCUUCGGCGCAUCAUCGACCGAUCCUGAUGUUCUCGGAUGGAUUUGAGUAAGAGCAUACGGGGCCGGACCCGAAAGAAGGUGAACUAUGCCUGUGUAGGGUGAAGCCAGAGGAAACUCUGGUGGAGGCUCGCAGCGGUUCUGACGUGCAAAUCGAUCGUCAAACAUGGGCAUGGGGGCGAAAGACUAAUCGAACCUUCUAGUAGCUGGUUUCCGCCGAAGU
Molecule: ribosomal RNA, 900 nt
Filed under: Fusarium chlamydosporum var. chlamydosporum
Lineage: Eukaryota; Fungi; Ascomycota; Sordariomycetes; Hypocreales; Nectriaceae
Description: LSU rRNA
Rfam family: Eukaryotic large subunit ribosomal RNA
Source: RNAcentral